CCACCCACACACGUUGCGAUCCCCUCGACCUCGACGUUAGCGCCGCCGAUCUCGUGGAGGAGACCCCGUCGGAUCUAGCUGCCGCUGGACGACUCGAGAAGACCCCGCCGGAUCUCGCCCUCGUCAUCAGUUCUGUAUCGCCGUCGUCGUGGCCACGGUAAAGCCGCCGUCCCCGCCGCGGAUCCCCUCCGGAAUACCCCGCCGAUCGCCGCCGCAGGCCGGUUUCAACCCCAGGUAAUCCUACCAACUCAAUACCCCGUCGGAUCUAGCCGCCGCCGCAGGCCGCCCCUCCGCCGCACUUCCAACCGCUGGCGUGCAACCUGUACCAGGGGUGGUGGACGUACGACGCGGAGGCGUCCCAGGUGCCACUGUACAGGGAGCCGGUGUGCGAGUUCCUGACGGAGCAGGUGACCUGCAUGCGCAACGGCCGGCGCGACGACUCGUACCAGCGGUGGCGCUGGCAGCCUUCCUCCUGCGACCUCCCCAGGUUCAACGCGCGGUUGCUGCUGGAGCGGCUGCGGAACAAGAGGCUGAUGUUCGUGGGGGACUCGCUGAAGUCGAUGUUGUGCCUGGUGUCGGUCGGCGAUCCCGUCGCGCGGCCAAAAGUCCCUGGCCAAGUUCGUGGGGCCCAACGGCUCUCUCAAUGUGUUCAUGGCGGCGGAUUACAACGCGACGGUGGAGUUCUACUGGGAGCUCCAACUCGGACGACCCGCAGGCGCACGUGCUGGACCCGUCAUCGCCUGGCGGUCCAUUCCCAAGCACGCCCGGCACUGUUGAGCCGCCCACUUCCUCGUCUUCAACGAGAUGAAAGUGUUGAAGAAUCCUCGGGCGUUGCCGGACAAGUACACGAGUGCAAGCACAACGUAACAUAUUUGGGCAAACCGGCCAUUCUACGUGUUUGGUCUUGGAUCGGCAAGCUACAUCAACGGUGUCAGGUUCUCUAGCUAGGUCCAGAAGAAUGAAGGAGUACAUGCCAUAGAUCGAUUUCGUGGUGGAUACAGGAGGUGUGAUCCACUUCACCAUGCUGGACCCGAAGGGCGCAAAGUCUAUCUCAUGAACUAGCCGUGCAUCUUGCUCAACACCUUUCCAUAUAUGUACAAUCAGGCAGGUAUUUCCUCGCGUACGCGGUUGCUGGCUGCUAGAUUAAACUUCUGUUUCAGAGCGUUCCAGGUUAUGUGAGUGCAUGUUUGACCAAUUGCAGUUUAUCCCGGCUAAGGUUCUACAUUGCAUGCCUCAAAUACCUGAUCAUGUGGCUUCCUUUCGUUAGCUUUGAGUACUCAAUGUAGAGGUUUCCCUUCUUGAGUCAUACAUACCUCAAAUCGAUAGUUCUCUCUAACUUCACAAAUAUUUGGUGCGUGUAUAUAUCACUUUAUUUAGGAAAUACUCAAAUUGCAGAGUUUGUUUCAUUGUUAAUCACUUGAAUAACUUGGAUUACUCUGAAAUCAGACUCCCUUUUCGAAGCACAAUAGGACUCCUUUUUAUAGACACAUUUCAACUAUGGUGCUAAUAUCUUCUUUUCUGGGAAGUGCUAUAUAUGUUAAGAUUCCUCCACCAUGUCUACCACACCUCUCAUCCUUUUCUAAGAUGUUGACUACUGAAUAAUGACCCAAGUUAACAAGAUUGGCAGAGGUUCUAUCUCAUACACUAAAUCUGUCAUCGAACCCAUCAUGCAUUGCAAGGUUUGAUAAUUGUUGUCAAUUCAGAAGGGGGAUUUGCCUCAUUGAAGAUACAGAUAAAAGAUUUUCUGACCUCAUAUCGAUUCUUACUUCCAUUCCUCAUGUGUCCUAUGUCUCACGUCUCUUACACGGGCAGAACGACCUGGGCCGUAGAUUAUACGGUGAACGAGGGCGGUGGCAGCACUAGAGUGAGGCAUGGCUGGUUGAGGAAUAUUUUUUUUAAAUCAUUUACUUACAGACUAAUGUUUGCUAUGCUUCUUUUAGUGAACGCUUGUAUUUUGUUUGAGAGCAUAUCAUGGGUGCACUGCUAAUUUAAUAAUCUUAGCAAUGUAAUGUUAAUCCACCUAAUAUGAUAUAAUAGCUAAAACUAGCAGACAUGCUUCCGUCUUCAUGGUGCUAUGGUAUUAAUCAUUUGGUAGUAAAUUUGCUAACCCAGAUCCUCAAAUCUGCUUUUUUUCUAGAACUCUACAUCUCGAAGUCUGAGGCACUGGCAUACUUAGCCAUGCCAUUAAGAAGCCAAAUCCAUAGGUUGCGAGCGAGAUGUUCGUCCGCACUGUUGCCUGCCUGCCUGCCUGUGAAGCUUCGCCACCAUGCGAAACCCUUUCAAGCUGCUCGAUGUACUCUUCUUUCUUCUGAUUGCAUGUUUUGUAUAUGUGGGUGCUCGUAGUAUGUAUUAGGGUUAAUUGAUCGUUUGAUUCAGCCAUAGUAUUGACGCCGCACGUACAACCUGUUCCAGAUAUAUUUCUAGAAUAACCCGUGUCUAUAUAGGUUCAAGACUAUUACAGUCCAUGUCAUUUUGGUACUUGUAUGUUCAUACGGCCAACCAUUGGCCAGUAGUUGGUUGUGCAGCAGGAGAUGAUAUGACUUCAGUUCUUCUUCACAUAAACAUCUCCAUCCUUAUUUUUUCUUCAUACGGCCAACCAUUGGCCAGGUUCUACUAUUCUGAAGUAACUGAAUUUAUCUUAUUUCAUUUGAUUAGUACUGUUGGGCUGCUGGCAGUUAUUGUUCAGAAGCCUGAUUGUAUAUUAAUGGUGAACUUUGGCUGUCUUUAUCCCAAUUUAAGAUGUUAUGGUGCUACACAACUGUAUAUAGCGUGAUAUGGAGGAACCAAAAGUGCCAGAAGCAUCUCUUCAUUAAACAUUCAGGGAUGAAACUUUUUUGGCAUAUGACAAAAUUUUGUUAAAGGUUUUAGCUAUCCUAUUGAGUAAAUCUCAAUCAGUGUUUCCAUACGUGGCUGGGAUCAACAUUAUCAUAAGUAGGUUCAUAUGUACAUGUGAGAGAACCAAGUUUCUAUAGUAUCGUAAGAGGAAAGCCUGAAAAGCAUUUUUCCACAUGUGAUAUUAGUUUCAUCGCUUGAAAAUACUUGAUAAGCGAUCCAGUCCAUUUGUUCAAAAUUGGUGAAACAAUAUGCGCUGGGUAAUAAUUUACCGAGCAGAGCAUUCCACUAAUCAUAUUUCGGGCAUGGCUAAAGUGUGUUACAACUGAAUAAUUUCUUGUGUUAAUACUUGGAGAUCUGGAUGCACAUGAAUAAUGAGCACAUGUUAUCCUCCACAAGUUGCGGCACAUGUUAACGUGAUGCAUGACAAAAGUGUAGCAUUGAUCUAAAAGUUGUUCUUGCAAUUAACAUCUACCUUAAUGGUAACAUAUUCUAUAGCUUAUCCUUAAUUUUUUUUAGAUUUUUGUUAAAAGUAUCGCCUAUUCAUUUUGGGUUAUCCUGUUUGUUAAAGAUGGAGAUUGAAAGGAAGGAUAAUUCUAAUCGUUAGUAUCUUCAUGGGUUCAUUAUCUUCAUAUUCAUAAUUUUAGAUGACCAAUUUCUUUCUUUAACCAGUAAGUAUUAUUAAUUAUUGCCAAUGUCUUUUAUCUCCCUAUACAUCACCUAUCACUGUAUUAUGAUGAUUUGAGACAUAAUGGGGUACUCAUAUUCUUAUGGUUCAUCUAGCAGUAUGUGAUUUGUUGACAUUUUCCCAGCAAUUUCACUUUGGUUUUCUUCUUUGCUUUUAGGUAUUUGUGUUAUUGAUCAUAACUACGUACAUAACAAUGCGACACAAUAUAAUUUGGCAUUUUCAAAGCUAGCACAUGGAGCGGCAAGAGAGAGGAGAGGAGCUACGGUGGCCAGGUAACUCGAGGAUGGAGGGGAAUUGGUGUAGAAUAAGCCUGCACUCUUCAAGAAAAUACAUAGGAUAAUUAUGAAACAAGGUACUGGAAAACAGAGUACAUAUAGGUGACCAAAUACUUGAGGGGCUGUAACUACAAGACUAAAAUUAAUGGAAAGGUAACCCUUUUUCUUUUUUAGAUGAACAAACAGCUAAGCUAGCUGAGGAGCGAUCUCCAGCAGCUCCCCGGUUGCCAGUGGUCAAAGAUUGUCUGCUGAAAGACAAACAAGUGAUCAUGUUCUAGCAUUGUUGAAAGGAGUAGUGAAUGCUGAUGUAUGUACAUUUUUUGUUCAGUGUAUUGGAAGUGCAAAUUUGUAUAUACUUUACUAGCAUUAUUUACUGGAUUUUAACAUAUUUGAUAUAUUGGAUUUUACUAGCACA
Triticum aestivum (bread wheat) is the source of this 4210-nucleotide long non-coding RNA. RefSeq lists it as uncharacterized. The record is from RefSeq and is a predicted model, not a curated record. The transcript has 5 exons. NCBI's taxonomy places the organism in Eukaryota, Viridiplantae, Streptophyta, Magnoliopsida, Poales, Poaceae.